UCGAACGAACCAUCCUGAUGAUUGAAGCUUGCUUCAUGAUUCAGACCUUGGUGAGUGGCGGACGGGUGAGUAACACGUGGGUAACCUGCCCAGAAGUGGGGGAUAACAUUUGGAAACAAGUGCUAAUACCGCAUAACAACUUAGAUCACAUGAUCUUUGUUUAAAAGAUGGUUUUGCUAUCUCUUCUGGAUGGACCCGCGGCGUAUUAGCUAGUUGGUGAGGUAAUAGCUCACCAAGGCGAUGAUACGUAGCCGACCUGAGAGGGUAAUCGGCCACAUUGGGACUGAGACACGGCCCAAACUCCUACGGGAGGCAGCAGUAGGGAAUCUUCCACAAUGGACGAAAGUCUGAUGGAGCAAUGCCGCGUGAGUGAAGAAGGUUUUCGGAUCGUAAAACUCUGUUGUUGAAGAAGAACAUAUGUGAGAGUAACUGUUCACGUACUGACGGUAUUCAACCAGAAAGCCACGGCUAACUACGUGCCAGCAGCCGCGGUAAUACGUAGGUGGCAAGCGUUGUCCGGAUUUAUUGGGCGUAAAGAGAAUGUAGGCGGUUUAUUAAGUUUGAAGUGAAAGCCCUCGGCUCAACCGAGGAAGUGCUUCGAAAACUGGUAAACUUGAGUGCAGAAGAGGAAAGUGGAACUCCAUGUGUAGCGGUGGAAUGCGUAGAUAUAUGGAAGAACACCAGUGGCGAAGGCGGCUUUCUGGUCUGUAACUGACGCUGAGAUUCGAAAGCAUGGGUAGCAAACAGGAUUAGAUACCCUGGUAGUCCAUGCCGUAAACGAUGAGUGCUAAGUGUUGGAGGGUUUCCGCCCUUCAGUGCUGCAGCUAACGCAUUAAGCACUCCGCCUGGGGAGUACGAUCGCAAGAUGUUAUAUGCCGCCC
Molecule: ribosomal RNA, 881 nt
Filed under: Companilactobacillus paralimentarius
Lineage: Bacteria; Bacillati; Bacillota; Bacilli; Lactobacillales; Lactobacillaceae
Description: bacterial SSU rRNA
Rfam family: Bacterial small subunit ribosomal RNA
Source: RNAcentral